AACGAACGCUGGCGGCAUGCCUAACACAUGCAAGUCGAACGAGACCUUCGGGUCUAGUGGCGCACGGGUGCGUAACGCGUGGGAACCUGCCCUUAGGUUCGCAAUAACUCCCCGAAAGGGGUGCUAAUACCGGUUAAUGUCUUCGGACCAAAGAUUUAUCGCCUUUGGAUGGGCCCGCGUUGGAUUAGCUAGUUGGUAGGGUAAAAGCCUACCAAGGCGACGAUCCAUAGCUGGUCUGAGAGGAUGAUCAGCCACACUGGGACUGAGACACGGCCCAGACUCGUACGGGAGGCAGCAGUGGGGAAUAUUGGACAAGGGGCGAAAGACUGAGAAAGCAAUGCGGGGUGAGAGAUGAAGGCCGUAGGGUUGUAAAGCUCUUUUACACGGGAUGAUAAUGACAGUACCGGGAGAAUAAGCACCGGCUAACUCCGUG
RNAcentral lists this ribosomal RNA (433 nucleotides) under uncultured bacterium. RNAcentral's name for it is "partial 16S ribosomal RNA". It matches the Rfam family "Bacterial small subunit ribosomal RNA", at positions 29 to 507 of the family's 1533-position model. The record is from RNAcentral.